AGUAUUUUCCUGAAGCUGAAGGAAGGGGGUGUUUUGCAGCCACCUGUUGGCACUUUGGAGCCGCCCUCUGGUCCCCUGGAAUCGUCCUGCUUCCCUUUGACAAAGAAACUGCUCACAGCUGCAUCCAUCCAUCGCACAGUGUGCUGCAUCAGCUGUGCCUUUACAGCCUGAAGCUGCUGAACUUCUCAUUUCCCAGUUCCCAGGAAGGUUUUGCUCUGACAUUCAUAGGCAGUGAUUAUGCUUUUUAUUGGAGCGUGCUUGCUAUUCUUCAUACGUGUUGACAACUGCAGUAAUCAGCUCUUUGUGAGCGAGCGGGUAAAAAUUAUGGAAAAAACCCAGAUAAAUCAGCAGCAGUAUCUGUUCUAUUGCUUCCCUCCGUGCAUAUCUGUAAAGAAAACAGUCUGUUUGGAGUGGGACAUACUGCCUGUUCAGAAACCCAGCAGGGUUUGGGUGCUGCUCUUUCCAGGAAGCUCUGUAACUGAAACUGGCAAAAGGCACUGGGUUGUGGGGCUGUUUGUUUGUUUUUUUUUUCCCUGAUCUCAGAUAAUGAGUUUGCAUUGUGAAAGGUGAGAGGAAACGUAUUCCAUUGUCCUGCCUUUCUGCUGGAGGUGGCUGGUGGUGGAGGUGCUGAUCACCACAGCUCCAGCAGAGAGGCAUUAAGCAACGCUACUGGACUUCGAGCAAAAAUGCACUUGUCACUAUUACUGCCACAGAAUUAAAGACAUGCUCUAAUGUAACCAAACCAGUGAAAAGAAAGAGCUAGAAGUCUUAAGAGGUAAGAAUGAGUUUCGUUUGGAGUAGGACUAAGGGAAUCUGUUUCGCUUUCAAAUGGGAGUUCUUUGUCCUGCUCCAAAUCACGUGGCUGAGCCUCCAGCUGGGACGUGGCCGUUUAGCAUGGGAAUGGCAGCCUCCAGGGAAAAAGGAGUGGCUGUCAAGGAGUUUGGAAAGUGAUGAUGGUCUUUGAAAUGGAAUUUUUAGCACAUCCUGUCUACGAGAUAUUUAUGAAUUAAAGGCCAGUGAACAGCUAGAAUCUAGCUGAAGCAGUCAAGGAAUUCUUGUAGGCUUUUGGUGUUGAAAAAUGCAUGCAAGAUUUAGGGGAAGGUCUUAUGUAGUGUGGAGAAAAAGGCUGUGUAAGAGCGCGCAUCUUACUGAACUCUUAGCAUCUGCUGAUAAUGUCAGAGGAAUUCUUCUGUUAAGCCAAGUGUUGAAGUAGUUGGCCUUACUAAUCAGUUUCAGUGUACAGGUUCAGGUCUCCUGUCCUGAUUUCCUGGUGCAGACCUGCUCCUGUUGGUGCACUUCGGGAGCUCGUUGCGUUUUUUGGAUUGUGAUUGCUUAACAGAGCAGUAAUGGAGUUUGUGCCACAGGGCAAUGCUGGAAUUGCUUUAGCUACACAAAGCUCCUCAGUCUGGUCAGAGCUGUGGCCUGUAUACCAGAUGUUGGAGAGACAAAUGAUGUUUUUUUUUUUUCACUCGCAUAUUUUCAGCUGUAUGUAAGACCUCUGUUAUAAAUAUGACACAGCAGAUUUGGCAACACCUUCCUCUAAGCAGGGUGGGUAAGAAAACAAUCUAUUCCUGAAGCACUUGUUUCAAUUAUCCCAAUUCAACUGAUUGUUUUAAGGUGAUACGUGUUAGUUGCUGGUAUCCUGUAUUCAUCCCAAUGAGGGCUCCCCGUUUGCUUGAUGCACUUGGAGGUUCGUUAACCACCGUGAGCUAAUCAUGGUGACCCUGCUGAAGGGCCAGAACUGGGCAACUCUCUCUUAGCCUCACCUCCACUUAUUCUCAUGGUGCUGUGGUGCAUAAGUUUGAGCUCUUGGGUUAAAAUGGGGAAUUCCUCCUGUUGAAGAAGUAGCACUUCCGUGGCAACAGCAUCAGGAGUGAAGUAGCUGCUUCGAGACAGUUUUAUUUCUCCGUUGAGACUCCUGGCUGCAUUUCCCAGCAGACUUCGUUGUUCCCAUUACUUUCGUUCUGUUCUAAUGAGGCUCCACUCUCUCUCUUUCAUGCCUCUCUCUUUUGGAGGAAUGCAAAUGGCAGUAGUGGACCAGAGCAUGUCCUUUACCCUGUCCUUCUACCCGUUUCCCACAGAGUUUCCUUACUUCCAUGUGAGCUGUUAAAUCUAUUUUUGUUAGCAGAGCUCUUUCACGUCCAAGCUACUGGACUCUCCCAAGCUGUCUCCUUUGAGAGAAGCCAGCACUGGAGAUGGUAGCUACAAUGCUGUUGUUAAUUCCAGCAGAAGUGAAAGUCAACACUUGCUCUGUCUUUAAAAAUGUAAUUGCUUCUCAUCCUGGAAAUCCAUAUGGAUGCUGUGUGAAUGAGAGCUAGUUGAACUUCUGGGUGAGUGUAGAGCAGGCAGGCUAGCCCUGAGCUCCUCCGCUCUAGCUGUCUUCAGCCUUUUAUUAUGUGGAUACAAACGAGAGAUGUGGUCUUGCAAGCUCCUGUUCAUAGCAUCCAUGAUGUCGUUUCUGCAAAUAGAUUCCAUCUGUUUCGGUUUACUGGAGUUGAGUUUCAUUCGACUUUGCUGGCUGUUAAAUCUGGAUUCAUUUUCUUGUGUGAGGCGGGGCAAGUGUCUCAGAGGCUUUAGACCCCGUGCUGUCCUUGAAAGAAAGAAAAAAAGAAAAAGGAGUAGGCAGGAGGUUGCUCACCAGAUUCCAGAUCAUGAUGAACUCACUGUGUAUCUGCGUCGCCGUUCGAUCCCCCGGCCCAGCCUUGCUCCUGUUGCUUGGAGUCGAGCAGCAGGCGGCUUUUGCACAGGGUGUCCUAGGACGAACUUGCACAAUAUUGCCAGCAGAUGUAAUUAUCACAGGAAUUCUGCUGAAGAGCAGCUGCUAGACAUUCAUCAGACUGUUAAUGUCGUUGGGAGGCCUUACAUUUGUUUAAUCAGCAGCCUUUUUUUUUUGUUUUUGUUUUUUCCCCCCGUCUCACUU
Long non-coding RNA from Tympanuchus pallidicinctus (lesser prairie-chicken), 2920 nucleotides. RefSeq lists it as uncharacterized. NCBI's taxonomy places the organism in Eukaryota, Metazoa, Chordata, Aves, Galliformes, Phasianidae. The transcript is spliced from 3 exons. The record is from RefSeq and is a predicted model, not a curated record.